UACAGGUGCUGCAUGGCUGUCGUCAGCUCGUGUCGUGAGAUGUUCGGUUAAGUCCGCUAACGAGCGCAACCCUCGCUGUGUGUUACAAGUGUCACACGGAACUGCCGGUCAUAAACCGGAGGAAGGUGGGAUGACGUCAAGUCAGCAUGGCCUUUAUAUCCUGGGCUACACACACGCUACAAUGGGAAGGGACAAUAGGUUGCGAAGCCGCGAGGCGGAGCCAAUCCAGCAAAACUUCCCUCAGUUCAGAUUGCAGGCUGCAACCCGCCUGCAUGAAGUUGGAGUUGCUAGUAAACGCAGGUCAGCCAUACUGCGUUGAAUACGUUCCCGGGGCUU
This 336-nucleotide ribosomal RNA is filed under the name uncultured Anaerolineaceae bacterium. Its description in RNAcentral is "bacterial SSU rRNA". It matches the Rfam family "Bacterial small subunit ribosomal RNA", at positions 1033 to 1382 of the family's 1533-position model. The record is from RNAcentral. Lineage: Bacteria; Bacillati; Chloroflexota; Anaerolineae; Anaerolineales; Anaerolineaceae.